Molecule: ribosomal RNA, 305 nt
Filed under: uncultured bacterium
Lineage: Bacteria
Description: bacterial SSU rRNA
Rfam family: Bacterial small subunit ribosomal RNA
Source: RNAcentral
CCUACGGGACGCAGCAGUGAGGAAUAUUGGUCAAUGGGCGGAAGCCUGAACCAGCCAAGUAGCGUGAGGGAUGAAGGUACAGAGUAUCGUAAACCUCUUUUGUCAGGGAACAAAGGCGGGGACGCGUCCCCGGAUGAGUGUACCUGAGGAAAAAGCAUCGGCUAACUCCGUGCCAGCAGCCGCGGUAAUACGGAGGAUGCGAGCGUUAUCCGGAUUUAUUGGGUUUAAAGGGUGCGCAGGCGGUCUGUUAAGUCAGCGGUCAAAGCCCGGGGCUCAAACCCGGCCCGCCGUUGAAAACGGCAGUC